UUGAAUUACUAGGGGAGCUAAUGCUGAGAGGAAGUUCUGACUUCGACCCUUAACCUGAACUAGGUAAUGCUAGCGUAGGGAAGUGAGGCAAAGUACUA
Molecule: non-coding RNA, 98 nt
Filed under: Andreesenia angusta
Lineage: Bacteria; Bacillati; Bacillota; Tissierellia; Tissierellales; Gottschalkiaceae
Description: Eubacterium angustum TPP sequence
Rfam family: TPP riboswitch aptamer (THI element)
About the family: Vitamin B(1) in its active form thiamin pyrophosphate (TPP) is an essential coenzyme that is synthesised by coupling of pyrimidine and thiazole moieties in bacteria.
Source: Rfam by way of RNAcentral